GAUUGAACGCUGGCGGCAGGCCUAACACAUGCAAGUCGAGCGGAUGACGGGAGUUUGCUCCUGGAUUCAGCGGCGGACGGGUGAGUAAUGCCUAGGAAUCUGCCUGGUAGUGGGGGAUAACGUCCGGAAACGGGCGCUAAUACCGCAUACGUCCUGAGGGAGAAAGUGGGGGAUCUUCGGACCUCACGCUAUCAGAUGAGCCUAGGUCGGAUUAGCUAGUUGGUGGGGUAAAGGCCUACCAAGGCGACGAUCCGUAACUGGUCUGAGGGGAUGAUCAGUCACACUGGAACUGAGACACGGUCCAGACUCCUCCGGGAGGCAGCAGUGGGGAAUAUUGGACAAUGGGCGAAAGCCUGAUCCAGCCAUGCCGCGUGUGUGAAGAAGGUCUUCGGAUUGUAAAGCACUUUAAGUUGGGAGGAAGGGCAGUAAGUUAAUACCUUGCUGUUUUGACGUUACCAACAGAAUAAGCACCGGCUAACUUCGUG
RNAcentral lists this ribosomal RNA (485 nucleotides) under uncultured bacterium. RNAcentral's name for it is "partial 16S ribosomal RNA". It matches the Rfam family "Bacterial small subunit ribosomal RNA", at positions 27 to 507 of the family's 1533-position model. The record is from RNAcentral.